RNAcentral lists this ribosomal RNA (288 nucleotides) under Staphylococcus aureus. RNAcentral's name for it is "partial 16S ribosomal RNA". It matches the Rfam family "Bacterial small subunit ribosomal RNA", at positions 836 to 1123 of the family's 1533-position model. Lineage: Bacteria; Bacillati; Bacillota; Bacilli; Caryophanales; Staphylococcaceae. The record is from RNAcentral.
CCCCCUUAGUUUGCAGCUAUCGCAUUAACCACUCCGCCCCGGGGAUUUUUUCGACUCUCGCAAGGUUGAAACUCAAAGGAAUGAUGGGGACCCGCACAAGCGGUGGAGCAUGCGUUUUAAUUCGAAGCACCGCGAAGAACCUUACCAAAUCUUGACUUCCUUUGACAACUCUAGAGAUAGAGCCUUCCCCUUCGGGGGACAAAGUGACAGGUGGUGCAUGGUUGUCGUCAGCUCGUGUCUGAGAUGUUGGGUUAUCCCGCCCGUCGAAUCCAAUUCUAUUUUCAACCG